ACGAACGCUGGCGGCGUGCUUAACACCUGCAAGUCGCACGGAAAGGCCCUGCUUUUGUGGGGUGCUCGAGUGGCGAACGGGUGAGUAACACGUGAGUAACCUGCCCUUGACUUUGGGAUAACUUCAGGAAACUGGGGCUAAUACCGGAUAGGAGCUCCUGCUGCAUGGUGGGGGUUGGAAAGUUUCGGCGGUUGGGGAUGGACUCGCGGCUUAUCAGCUUGUUGGUGGGGUAGUGGCUUACCAAGGCUUUGACGGGUAGCCGGCCUGAGAGGGUGACCGGCCACAUUGGGACUGAGAUACGGCCCAGACUCCUACGGGAGGCAGCAGUGGGGAAUAUUGCACAAUGGGCGGAAGCCUGAUGCAGCAACGCCGCGUGCGGGAUGACGGCCUUCGGGUUGUAAACCGCUUUCGCGUGUGACGAAGCGUGAGUGACGGUAAUGGGUAAAGAAGCACCGGCUAACUACGUG
RNAcentral lists this ribosomal RNA (467 nucleotides) under uncultured bacterium. Its description in RNAcentral is "partial 16S ribosomal RNA". It matches the Rfam family "Bacterial small subunit ribosomal RNA", at positions 29 to 507 of the family's 1533-position model. The record is from RNAcentral.